UUCGGUGGCAAUGUCGGAGGGGUCAUACCCGAUCCCAUCUCGAACUCGGAAGUCAAGCCCUCCAGAGCCGAUGGUACUGCAGAGUUUCUCUGUGGGAGAGUAGGACGCCGCCGGAU
Molecule: ribosomal RNA, 116 nt
Filed under: Sandaracinus sp.
Lineage: Bacteria; Pseudomonadati; Myxococcota; Polyangiales; Sandaracinaceae
Also listed under: 2 other names
Source: RNAcentral